This is a long non-coding RNA of Gordionus sp. m RMFG-2023, 517 nucleotides long. RefSeq lists it as uncharacterized. Lineage: Eukaryota; Metazoa; Nematomorpha; Gordioida; Chordodea; Parachordodidae. The record is from RefSeq and is a predicted model, not a curated record. The transcript has 2 exons.
UUAACAAAAAAACUUAUUCAGGAACAAUGGAAUAUAGCCUUUACAACUUGAUGAAACUUAUUUAAAAAAAUGGAAAUUUUAUUUAAAAAUAAAAAUAAGGGAAAUUCUAAUUAAUACAUAAGUGUUAGAAUUUAAAACUUACUAAUCAUUAUAAUUUAGCGUAAAAAUAAAUCUAGAUUCAGACAAUGUCAGGCAAGCUAGAUUUGCUACGUCUUGGGGCCAAUGACAUAUAUAAUACCUAGACUGACGAUUCAUUCAUUAAAAUGCAUUUUUAAGCGUCGUUAAAAGCAAAUCAGCUGGACCCGCCAUUUUGAACCCCACGUGAUUCAGAACCUUUCUACUUCUGACAGGGUUUGGGGAAGAAUUCUUGAUAGAUAGCUGUCAUUUCAAGACAUGGGCAAGCUUUCGAUAAUAAUUUAAGCAAUUAUGGGGAAAUGAACAAAAUUUUUUUAUUUAUUAUAUUUUAUCAAAUAUAUAUUUUUUUAAAGAAUAUAAUAAAAAUAAGUCUUAAUUUUAA